CAAUGGAUGGCCGAAAGUAAGCAAUGGUCUCUUAAACCACUCAAUAGUAUUUUAACGCAUACUUCCAAUG
RNAcentral lists this transfer RNA (70 nucleotides) under Coleoptera sp. 2 AH-2016. RNAcentral describes it as "tRNA-Lys". The record is from RNAcentral. Lineage: Eukaryota; Metazoa; Arthropoda; Insecta; Coleoptera.